Molecule: ribosomal RNA, 1444 nt
Filed under: uncultured organism
Description: SSU rRNA
Rfam family: Bacterial small subunit ribosomal RNA
Source: RNAcentral
CUGGCGGCAGGCCUAACACAUGCAAGUCGAACGGUAACAGGAAGAAGCUUGCUUCUUUGCUGACGAGUGGCGGACGGGUGAGUAAUGUCUGGGAAACUGCCUGAUGGAGGGGGAUAACUACUGGAAACGGUAGCUAAUACCGCAUAACGUCGCAAGACCAAAGAGGGGGACCUUCGGGCCUCUUGCCAUCGGAUGUGCCCAGAUGGGAUUAGCUAGUAGGUGGGGUAACGGCUCACCUAGGCGACGAUCCCUAGCUGGUCUGAGAGGAUGACCAGCCACACUGGAACUGAGACACGGUCCAGACUCCUACGGGAGGCAGCAGUGGGGAAUAUUGCACAAUGGGCGCAAGCCUGAUGCAGCCAUGCCGCGUGUAUGAAGAAGGCCUUCGGGUUGUAAAGUACUUUCAGCGGGGAGGAAGGGAGUAAAGUUAAUACCUUUGCUCAUUGACGUUACCCGCAGAAGAAGCACCGGCUAACUCCGUGCCAGCAGCCGCGGUAAUACGGAGGGUGCAAGCGUUAAUCGGAAUUACUGGGCGUAAAGCGCACGCAGGCGGUUUGUUAAGUCAGAUGUGAAAUCCCCGGGCUCAACCUGGGAACUGCAUCUGAUACUGGCAAGCUUGAGUCUCGUAGAGGGGGGUAGAAUUCCAGGUGUACCGGUGAAAUGCGUAGAGAUCUGGAGGAAUACCGGUGGCGAAGGCGGCCCCCUGGACGAAGACUGACGCUCAGGUGCGAAAGCGUGGAGAGCAAACAGGAUUAGAUACCCUGGUAGUCCACGCCGUAAACGAUGUCGACUUGGAGGUUGUGCCCUUGAGGCGUGGCUUCCGGAGCUAACGCGUUAAGUCGACCGCCUGGGGAGUACGGCCGCAAGGUUAAAACUCAAAUGAAUUGACGGGGGCCCGCACAAGCGGUGGAGCAUGUGGUUUAAUUCGAUGCAACGCGAAGAACCUUACCUGGUCUUGACAUCCACGGAAGUUUUCAGAGAUGAGAAUGUGCCUUCGGGAACCGUGAGACAGGUGCUGCAUGGCUGUCGUCAGCUCGUGUUGUGAAAUGUUGGGUUAAGUCCCGCAACGAGCGCAACCCUUAUCCUUUGUUGCCAGCGGUCCGGCCGGGAACUCAAAGGAGACUGCCAGUGAUAAACUGGAGGAAGGUGGGGAUGACGUCAAGUCAUCAUGGCCCUUACGACCAGGGCUACACACGUGCUACAAUGGCGCAUACAAAGAGAAGCGACCUCGCGAGAGCAAGCGGACCUCAUAAAGUGCGUCGUAGUCCGGAUUGGAGUCUGCAACUCGACUCCAUGAAGUCGGAAUCGCUAGUAAUCGUGGAUCAGAAUGCCACGGUGAAUACGUUCCCGGGCCUUGUACACACCGCCCGUCACACCAUGGGAGUGGGUUGCAAAAGAAGUAAGUAGCUUAACCUUCGGGAGGGCGCUUACCACUUUGUGCCUC